Oncorhynchus tshawytscha (Chinook salmon) is the source of this 1324-nucleotide long non-coding RNA. The record is from Ensembl. Lineage: Eukaryota; Metazoa; Chordata; Actinopteri; Salmoniformes; Salmonidae.
UCCUGAUGACUGUAACGUUCCCGUUGAUGACUGUAACGUUCCUGUUGAUGACUCCUGUAACAUUCCUGUUGAUGACUGUAACGUUCCUGUUGAUGACUGUAACGUUCCUGUUGAUGACUGUAACGUUCCUGUUGAUGACUGUAACGUUCCUGUUGAUGACUGUAACGUUCCUGUUGAUGACUAAUGUUCCCGUUGAUGACUGUAACGUUCCUGUUGAUGACUGUAACGUUUCUGUUGAUGACCGUUCCUAUUGAUGACUGUUCUAAACGUCUUCAUUUGCAGCUCUCUCUCUCUUAACAUCAGAAUGGAGUGAUCUUGGAAAACAGUAGUUGACAAUUGCUAUGCUAUUUUCCCUACUUUUCUGUCAUCUUCAGAGUAAACAUUUGAUCAUGUAGGAAUGCAAUACAGUAUGUCAGAGCAUUACCCUUUUAUCUUUGUUGAACUGAGACAGGUCACCCUCUGCAAAAUGUUAAAGAUGAAACACCUAGAGUUUUGUAAAACUCUUGUAAAUUGUAAUAAUUAUAAUAGCAUUUCAUUGUCUGCAUGUAAUCAAGUUGAAUUUAUGUUCUGUACCUCUUCUGCCUGUUGUUCCUGUGGCCUUUAUCACACCUUCUAAGUUAACAUAACACUUAACUGUCUUAACCUGGGUAUAGUAUAGGAUUGUCAUAUGCCAUGCUUGAAAUUCACGACUUGUAGUUAUGAUCCAUAAUGGACAUUUGAACCUUGUUUAUUAAGUCAUGUAUAAGUCAUGUAUAGACACAAUCUUCAGCCUGCAGCUACUCUUCCUUUAGCAGAACCAUGUUAAGGGAAACAUGCAGUGUGUUUUGAUCCGUUCUGUUUUUGCCAGUAAUGUCUCGGAACGAGUCGGCUCAAAGUUGAAUGGUUUAGUGAAUGAGAGAGAGGGAAUGAAAUGAAACGAGUGAAGAUGAUGCUAAAUGUGUUCUUACCUCAUGGAGAGACAUUUUCAGGGAUUUUAUAUAACAUAUCUGUAUUUUGUUACAGCCUCUGAAAUACAUCAAAGGGCUGUGUUUAUUUGGCAUGUGUUUGUAAAAUAUGUACAUAAGAUUCGCUUGGUAACGGGGGACCUUUUCUCUGAAUCAUGAAGGAUGUGAAGUUAAAUUGACCCAAUUACAGUAUGUAUAGUGUAUGUAAAACUAAAUGUACAAUACAUUUAUGUACAAGUUUAUACAACAAAUAUAUUGUAUAUUUUUUACCUUUAAAUGUGCUAUGUAUUCUUGUGUUAUUAUUACUGUCUUAUUGUUAUUCAGGUCUACUGCCGUGCUAAAGCUUAGGCUACUUUCAGUCAACACUCAAUGACUCAACA